CCCAAUGUGGGAGCUGGCUUGCCUGCGAUGGCGGUGGUGAAUAUUCCACCGCUAUCGCAGGCAAGCCAGCUCCCACACCGAC
RNAcentral lists this unclassified non-coding RNA (82 nucleotides) under Pseudomonas libanensis. The record is from RNAcentral. Lineage: Bacteria; Pseudomonadati; Pseudomonadota; Gammaproteobacteria; Pseudomonadales; Pseudomonadaceae.